GAUGAACGCUGGCGGCGUGCCUAAUACAUGCAAGUCGAGCGAACAGAUGAGGAGCUUGCUCCUCUGACGUUAGCGGCGGACGGGUGAGUAACACGUGGAUAACCUACCUGUAAGACUGGGAUAACUUCGGGAAACCGGAGCUAAUACCGGAUAAUAUAUUGAACCGCAUGGUUCAAUAGUGAAAGACGGUUUUGCUGUCACUUAUAGAUGGAUCCGCGCCGCAUUAGCUAGUUGGUAAGGUAACGGCUUACCAAGGCAACGAUGCGUAGCCGACCUGAGAGGGUGAUCGGCCACACUGGAACUGAGACACGGUCCAGACUCCUACGGGAGGCAGCAGUAGGGAAUCUUCCGCAAUGGGCGAAAGCCUGACGGAGCAACGCCGCGUGAGUGAUGAAGGUCUUCGGAUCGUAAAACUCUGUUAUUAGGGAAGAACAAAUGUGUAAGUAACUAUGCACGUCUUGACGGUACCUAAUCAGAAGGCCACGGCUAACUACGUG
RNAcentral lists this ribosomal RNA (497 nucleotides) under uncultured bacterium. RNAcentral's name for it is "partial 16S ribosomal RNA". It matches the Rfam family "Bacterial small subunit ribosomal RNA", at positions 28 to 507 of the family's 1533-position model. The record is from RNAcentral.